GAUGAACGCUGGCGGCGUGCCUAAUACAUGCAAGUCGAGCGAACAGACGAGGAGCUUGCUCCUCUGACGUUAGCGGCGGACGGGUGAGUAACACGUGGAUAACCUACCUAUAAGACUGGGAUAACUUCGGGAAACCGGAGCUAAUACCGGAUAAUAUAUUGAACCGCAUGGUUCAAUAGUGAAAGACGGUUUUGCUGUCACUUAUAGAGGGAUCCGCGCCGCAUUAGCUAGUGGGUAAGGUAAGGGCUUACCAAGGCGACGAUGCGUAGCCGACCUGAGAGGGUGAUCGGCCCCACUGGACCUGAGCCCCGGUCCAGACUCCUACGGGAGGCAGCAGUAGGGAAUCUUCCGCAAUGGGCGAAAGCCUGACGGAGCACCGCCGCGUGAGUGAUGAAGGUCUUCGGAUCGUAAAACUCUGUUAUUAGGGAAGAACAAAUGUGUAAGUAACUAUGCACGUCUUGACGGUACCUAAUCAGAAAGCCACGGCUAACUACGUG
RNAcentral lists this ribosomal RNA (497 nucleotides) under uncultured bacterium. RNAcentral's name for it is "partial 16S ribosomal RNA". It matches the Rfam family "Bacterial small subunit ribosomal RNA", at positions 28 to 507 of the family's 1533-position model. The record is from RNAcentral.